This 327-nucleotide ribosomal RNA is filed under the name uncultured eukaryote. RNAcentral's name for it is "partial 18S ribosomal RNA". It matches the Rfam family "Eukaryotic small subunit ribosomal RNA", at positions 1470 to 1796 of the family's 1831-position model. The record is from RNAcentral.
CCCUUAGAUGUUCUGGGCCGCACGCGCGCUACACUGAUUCAUGCAACAAGUUUUGUCCUUGGCUGAUAGGCCUGGGUAAUCUUUGAACGUGAAUCGUGAUGGGGAUAGAUGAUUGCAAUUAUUCAUCUUCAACGAGGAAUUCCUAGUAAACGCAAGUCAUCAGCUUGCAUUGAUUACGUCCCUGCCCUUUGUACACACCGCCCGUCGCACCUACCGAUUGAAUGAUCCGGUGAAAUCUUCGGAUCUGAGAGAUGUCUGAUUAAUUUCGGACGCCUUUUGGAAAAGUUGUUUAAACCUUACCAUUUAGAGGAAGGUGAAGUCGUAACA